CUCAGUUCGGAUUGUAGGCUGCAACUCGCCUACAUGAAGUUGGAAUCGCUAGUAAUCGCGAAUCAGAAUGUCGCGGUGAAUACGUUCCCGGGUCUUAUACACACCGCCCGUCACACCACGAGAGUUUACAACACCCGAAGUCAGUGGCCUAACCGCAAGGAGGGAGCUGCCUAAGGUGGGGUAGAUGAUUGGGGUGAAGUCGUAACAAGGUAUC
Molecule: ribosomal RNA, 214 nt
Filed under: uncultured bacterium
Lineage: Bacteria
Description: partial 16S ribosomal RNA
Rfam family: Bacterial small subunit ribosomal RNA
Source: RNAcentral